This 522-nucleotide ribosomal RNA is filed under the name Vargula sp. 36 HTP-2019. Its description in RNAcentral is "partial large subunit ribosomal RNA". It matches the Rfam family "Bacterial large subunit ribosomal RNA", at positions 1805 to 2608 of the family's 2925-position model. Lineage: Eukaryota; Metazoa; Arthropoda; Ostracoda; Myodocopida; Cypridinidae. The record is from RNAcentral.
UAACAAAAACAUUUCCUUUUUGGUGAAAGGUAGAUUCUGCCCAGUGUUGUAAUACCCGGCUGCGGUAUUCUGACCGUACGAAGGUAGCAAAAUAAAUAGUCUUUUAAUUGGGGACUGGAAUGAAAGAUUUAAUUAGGAACUUGCUUUUUUGCAGAUAGUAAUAGAAUUUAAUUAAUAAGUUAAAAGGCUUAUGUAUUUUAGAGUGACAAGAAGACCCUAAGAGUUUUACAAAUUAAGCUAUUUAAGGCAAUUGGGUGUAAAUGUUUUGUUUGGUUGAUUUUGUUUAACUGGGGCGGUUAAAAUAAUAUCUAUUUUGUAUUGGACUUGAAUGGGAGGGUUAGUUAGAUAGUAGGAUCCUUUUUGGAAAGCAAAAUAAAUUACCUUAGGGAUAACAGCAUAAUCUUUUUUGAGAGACCGUAUUGACAAAAAGGUUUGUGACCUCGAUGUUGGAUUUGAAUAACUUUUUGGAGCAGCAUUUUUACAAGUUGGUCUGUUCGACCAUUAAAUUUCAACAUGAUUUGA